GACGAACGCUGGCGGCGUGCUUAACACAUGCGAGUCGAACGGUGAAGGGGUCUGCUUUUGUGGGCCCUGGAUGAGUGGCGAACGGGUGAGUAACACGUGAGUAACCUGCCCCCUUCUUCUGGAUAACCGCAUGAAAGUGUGGCUAAUACGGGAUAUUCUGGGUCUGUCGCAUGAUGGGUCUGGGAAAGAUUGCGCCUUUGGGUGUUUUUGGUGGGGGAUGGGCUCGCGGCCUAUCAGCUUGUUGGUGGGGUGAUGGCCUACCAAGGCGGUGACGGGUAGCCGGCCUGAGGGGGUGGACGGUCACACUGGGACUGAGACACGGCCCAGACUCCUACGGGAGGCAGCAGUGGGGAAUAGUGCACAAUGGGCGCAAGCCUGAUGCAGCGACGCCGCGUGAGGGAUGGAGGCCUUCGGGGUGUAAACCUCUUUCGCCAGUGAAGCAGGCCUGCUCCUUGUGGGUGGGUUGACGGUAGCUGGAUAAGAAGCGCCGGCUAACUACGUG
RNAcentral lists this ribosomal RNA (502 nucleotides) under uncultured bacterium. Its description in RNAcentral is "partial 16S ribosomal RNA". It matches the Rfam family "Bacterial small subunit ribosomal RNA", at positions 28 to 507 of the family's 1533-position model. The record is from RNAcentral.